AAUGCACCUGGAUCUUGGUCCAUCUGACUGAAAAAUAAUAUAAUUACUCAGAGUCCAUCCAGUAAAUAUACAUAGACACAUACAUCUACAACUACUAACAAUUAACAACACAUUUAUUGAGUAAAAUAUUAUAAUCAUUGUAUAAAGUACACUUGCUAAAGUUUGUGCACCUUAGGCAGAUAGACAAAGGGACCAUCACUAUUGCAUUAAUAGAUGCAAUUAUGUUGUUUGUAAUUUUUCAAAUCAUGAAAUAAAUCCGACUAGGCUCAUGGGUAUUGCAAGAAAAUUAAUUAAAAAAAAAUCCAAGAAUAAUAUACUCCUAUUAAAUAGAGAAUUUGCAAUACAAGCAAAACAGAUGUCAUACUUAUACUACAGCCAAAUUCCCAGUAUCUGAGACGGGAAAAAAAAUCAAGUCUCGAUUUUCCUUGCUCAGUUUCUUCCCUUUCCUCUUCAUUUACCAAAACCCAAUAGAAAGUUACAGAAGAAAGGGUCCUCAAAUAAGAGAAGUAAAGUAGGAAAAAGUACCAGAAAGCUUGGGACUUUGUGGCCUGGAAAAGAAAAGGAAACUAUUUGCUGAACCACACCCACCAUUAAAGCGUAAUAUAUGAUGUUUCAGAUUCUGCAGUGCCAUUUCGAUUUUUGCUCUCUUCAAACUGGACCAGGGGCAGCCGGGCAGGGAGAAGAGGGAGUGCGAGACCAUACGAGGGGGAGUGGAAUGGAAAGGUUUUGGGACCGUUAAGA
RNAcentral lists this long non-coding RNA (741 nucleotides) under Panax ginseng (ginseng). RNAcentral describes it as "long non-coding RNA (PGIN_LNC005914)". The record is from RNAcentral. Lineage: Eukaryota; Viridiplantae; Streptophyta; Magnoliopsida; Apiales; Araliaceae.